Anguilla rostrata (American eel) is the source of this 709-nucleotide long non-coding RNA. RefSeq lists it as uncharacterized. Lineage: Eukaryota; Metazoa; Chordata; Actinopteri; Anguilliformes; Anguillidae. The transcript is spliced from 2 exons. The record is from RefSeq and is a predicted model, not a curated record.
GUGACCUUUGGCUUGUUCAGCAAUAACUCACAGAUUAAUGAACAACUAACGGAAGCGCUUCAAGUCACAAUGAAACCCAUCGCACAACUUUUCACCAAUGGUUUUAAUACCAAAACAGAGCCCGAAGGUCCCACAUUUUUAAACCACUGAUCAAGAGAGAGAGACAUAUUUCUUCUGAAGCGUGAGAAACCUAGGUUUAAGUGGCAAGUAUUGUUGCGACACACAAUAUGAGGAGCAUCGAAAGCCUAGAAAGACAGGAAUCAUCUUCACCGACGGUGGGAACCUGGCCGAGGGGGAACUUGUCCUCAGGAAAGGAUGCAAGACUUCUACCAUCACAGCAUAUGUUCAUGGGGCAAUAAAACUGAGAGAUUUACAGUGCAUGCACGGCCCCCCAACAGCCUCGCGCCCUUUUAGGAAUUACUAGGAAUGAUUUACAACGAGGCAGACAAUUGUCAACCUGAUUAAAGAACUCCAGCUUUUUUUAGUUCAAAUUUUUCAUUAUUAUCUACUAUUAAUUUUUACGAAUAAGAACUAACGCCUGCAAAAAACCAACGACUUGUAUGUGGUUUCUUGAGCCAAUAAAGCAUCCAUAUUGGUGGUCCGAAUGAUACAUUUUAUGUCACCGAAUAGACUUAAGCAACCUCGCUUUGUUAAAGCCAUAGCCACGAGAUUGCGAAAAAAACCUAAAUAAAACGGCAGUGUUUCCCAA